UGAUUGUCCAAACGCAAUUCUUGUCCUAUUUAAAGUCGGAAACCGAGAAUUGUGUGUGGACAUCCGU
This 67-nucleotide microRNA precursor is filed under the name Callorhinchus milii (elephant shark). Its description in RNAcentral is "Cmi-Mir-219-P2_pre stem-loop". It matches the Rfam family "mir-219 microRNA precursor family", at positions 10 to 70 of the family's 79-position model. Rfam says of the family: The hairpin precursors (represented here) are predicted based on base pairing and cross-species conservation -- their extents are not known. Lineage: Eukaryota; Metazoa; Chordata; Chondrichthyes; Chimaeriformes; Callorhinchidae. The record is from RNAcentral.